RNAcentral lists this ribosomal RNA (433 nucleotides) under uncultured bacterium. RNAcentral's name for it is "partial 16S ribosomal RNA". It matches the Rfam family "Bacterial small subunit ribosomal RNA", at positions 29 to 507 of the family's 1533-position model. The record is from RNAcentral.
AGCGAACGCUGGCGGCAGGCUUAACACAUGCAAGUCGAGCGGGCACUUCGGUGUCAGCGGCAGACGGGUGAGUAACACGUGGGAACGUACCCUUCGGUUCGGAAUAACGCUGGGAAACUAGCGCUAAUACCGGAUACGCCCUUUUGGGGAAAGGUUUACUGCCGAAGGAUCGGCCCGCGUCUGAUUAGCUAGUUGGUGGGGUAAUGGCCUACCAAGGCGACGAUCAGUAGCUGGUCUGAGAGGAUGAUCAGCCACACUGGGACUGAGACACGGCCCAGACUCCUACGGGAGGCAGCAGUGGGGAAUAUUGGACAAUGGGCGCAAGCCUGAUCCAGCCAUGCCGCGUGAGUGUUGAAGGCCUUAGGGUUGUAAAGCUCUUUUGUCCGGGACGAUAAUGACGGUACCGGAAGAAUAAGCCCCGGCUAACUUCGUG